This is an RNA transcript of Vigna angularis (adzuki bean), 3282 nucleotides long. It is a transcript of the gene named UPF0051 protein ABCI8, chloroplastic, with no coding region annotated. Lineage: Eukaryota; Viridiplantae; Streptophyta; Magnoliopsida; Fabales; Fabaceae. The transcript has 6 exons. The record is from RefSeq and is a predicted model, not a curated record.
AUGACUCUUAUACUUAAAUUUGAUUUAUUUAAAAGUAACUGAACUUUUAAAACAGUAACUUUUAAAACCCUAAACACUAACAAAACCAAACCUCAUCAUGCCGUCUCUUCUCCGCUGCAACGGCCUCUCCAUCUCCCCCUUACCUCCGCAACCCACGCGCCACCUCAAAUUUAUUGUCCCUCCAACCCUAAACAUCAAACCCUCAAAACCUUCGCGCCACGUUACGGUGCGCGCCGAGGUGAAGGAGACCGCCGCAACCGCCUCUUCCUCCGACGAGAAGAUCCGUGAAAUCCUCCGCAACCGCGACUAUGUUGACAAGUUCGGAUUCAGCAGAAACAUCAAUUCCGAGUCGAUCCCUAAAGGCCUCUCCAAAGAAACUAUUCGUCUGAUCUCGUCCCUGAAAAAGGAACCUCAAUGGAUGCUGGAAUUCCGCUUGAAGGCAUUUGAGAAAUUCCUGUCCAUGAAAGUCCCUACCUGGUCCGACAACAGCUACCCUCCUAUCGAUUUCCAGGAUAUCUGCUACUACUCGGAUCCCACGGCUCCCACGGCUCCCAAGAAGAACGACUGUCUGAAAUCCCUCGAAGACGCCGAUCCCAAGAAGAAUGACUCUCUGAAAUCCCUCAAAGACGCCGAUCCCAAAAUUCUCCUCUACUUCGAGGACCUCGGCGUUCCUCUCGACGAGCAGAAGCGUCUCGCAAACGUCGCCGUCGACGCCGUCCUCGACAGCGUCUCCAUAGGCACCACCCACCGCAAAACCCUGGAGAAGGCCGGGGUCAUAUUCUGCUCCAUCUCCGACGCUAUUAAGGAGUACCCCGAGUUAGUCCGCAAGUACUUAGGGAGGGUCGUGCCCUCCGAUGACAACUACUACGCCGCGUUGAACUCCGCCGUCUUCAGCGACGGUUCGUUCUGCUACAUUCCCAAAGACACCAAGUGCCCGAUGCAGAUCUCCACCUACUUCAGAAUCAACGCGCUGGAAACGGGGCAGUUUGAGCGGACUUUGAUCGUUGCCGACGACAGGAGCUUUGUAGAGUAUUUGGAAGGGUGCACUGCGCCGUCCUAUGAUCGGAACCAGCUCCACGCAGCGGUGGUGGAGUUGCACUGUGGGGAAGGGGCGGAGAUAAAGUACUCCACGGUGCAGAAUUGGUACGCUGGGGAUGAGAAUGGGAAAGGUGGGAUUUACAAUUUCGUGACGAAGAGAGGAGUGUGUGACGGGUCGCGGUCGAAGAUAUCGUGGACGCAGGUGGAGACGGGUUCUGCGAUCACGUGGAAGUAUCCGAGUGUUGUGUUGGAGGGAGAUGAUAGUGUUGGGGAGUUCUGUUCUGUUGCUUUGACGAAUAACUAUCAGCAGGCUGAUACGGGGACCAAGAUGAUACACAAAGGGAAGAACACAAGGAGUAGGAUUAUCUCCAAGGGUAUAUCCGUUGGACAUUCCAGGAACUGUUAUAGAGGGCUGGUUCAGGUUCUGUCCAAGGCGGACAAUGCGCGAAAUUCAUCGCAGUGUGACUCCAUGCUUAUUGGGGACAAUGCAGCUGCCAAUACCUAUCCUUACAUUCAGGUGAAAAAUCCAACUGCAAGAAUUGAACAUGAAGCCAGUACAUCUAAAAUUGGAGAAGAUCAACUGUUCUAUUUUCAGCAAAGGGGAAUAGACUAUGAAAAAGCAAUGGCCGCAAUGAUCUCUGGCUUUUGCCGUGAUGUCUUCAAUGAGCUUCCUGAUGAAUUUGGUUCUGAGGUGAACCAACUCAUGAGCUUGAAGCUUGAGGGCUCGGUAGGUUAAACAGUUUGUUAAGCACAUUAUUUGGAAUUUGCUCAGGCCAUUUGUUCUUGAAGUUGUACAAGGCCAUAGAGGUGCUGCAUUCCGAAGGAUGUGUACAUGCUAUAUAUAGAUGUUGUCUUCAAGUUUACCACAAAAGGGCCCUCGAGCAUUACCAAUUUUCUACCUUAAUAAGUUAUCACUAUUUUACUGUUCAUUCGGAUUUGCGAGCGACGAAUAGAUUACGCUGUGGUGUUCGUUUGAGCGGAUAAGGAGGGAUUAGCGACGAUGGAUUUGUGGGAUGAAGUCGAUUUUCGUCACUCGCAUAAACGAAGAGAUUUACGUGGAUUGUUACGGAAAAGUCAUGUGUACCCUCCACUUAUUACUUGAUUUAUGUGUAACGUAUUUUGAUGUAUGUGCAACCAUUGGUUUUGGUUUUGAUUUCGCAUGUUUGUAGACUGAGAGGAAGAAUGACAUUGUGUGUGUUGAUGGCAUGAAGAAGCAAUGGAAUGAAGAAGCAGCUGAAUCCGCGUGUGUGAGAGUCGAAGAAGAUGAUGAACAGUAGAAAGAGGGUGGCGUAACCGAUUACAGCAGAAUCGUAACCGGUUACAGUGGUAUGAAGUUUUUGCUGGCAUGUGUAAUCGGUUACGUAAACGGGUAACUGAGUACACGGCUAUCUGUAUUCGGUUACUUAGGGGUAUUUUGAACAUGGGGUUGGAUGGGGUUUUUAAAAGUAUGUCCUCAGAAGAGCUUUUACAGCACAGGAGGCACAUAUGAGGUCUCAAAUAAAUCUCCUGUGGGGUACCAUUCUGUACGAACUCUCAAUUGUGGAGUUCAAAUCAGGGCUACCUGUGUGGUAUGAAACUCUUGCGGCUUCAGUUGAGAAAUUUGAACUUGCAGGAGCUUCUCCAACAGAUAUAGCUGUAAUUUUGAAGAACCACUGUUCAAAUAAUACUGCAGUAGAUGGUCUUGCCUUCAAAAUUGAUGAAAUAGUAGAGGCAUGGAAGGAGAUGUACAAAGCUAAAAUGUGGAAGAGUGGAGUUCCAUCAUUUCGUUUGGAACCCUUAUUCAGAAGUUUCAAAAACUUAUCAUGCCUUUGAGCUUGCAUGAGUUGAAUAUUUUCUUCGAGUACUUGAAGAUUGACACGGUCAACAGUCACCAAGGCUGCUUCUGUGCCUGAAAUGCUAUUGUCAUCAGAAGGUUAAUCAUACUGCUUUUAAAAGAAUGUGGGUUCACCAAUAUACUUGAGAUAUUCUUUCAAUGGUGUUUAAAUUUCCAAAUACACAAGGGUCUAGAAGUUCUUUACACCUUGGAAAGAUGGCGUUGCAGGAAUUACCUUUUACUUUAGUUUCUGCUUUUGCUCAUUUUUCUCGCCCUUCAUUUAGUUGGUAGAUUUGUAGGAUGUUAAAUUUGUACCAAAAGCAAGCAGCGGGAGAUGCAUGUUCCUUUUUCUUGUUAUUUAUCGAUGUGUAAUCUACUCUUUCAUCUUUGUUGAGGUAGUCUCUUUCUGAAAGAGUUUUCCUCCUACUAUG